Molecule: long non-coding RNA, 4247 nt
Filed under: Capsicum annuum
Lineage: Eukaryota; Viridiplantae; Streptophyta; Magnoliopsida; Solanales; Solanaceae
Description: long non-coding RNA (CANN_LNC014888)
Source: RNAcentral
UCACUCUAUCAUAGGUGCUGAAUAGUAACAAAACCCUCAACAAAUCAUCUAUAAUAAUCGACCAAACCAAUAAAGCUACAAACCUUAGUCAGAGAUAUAGGUCUAUCCCAAUCACGAAUAACCUCAAUCUUUGUCGGGUCUACUUUAAUCCCAACAUUAGAUACCACAUACCCAUGGAAUGCCACUGACUCAAGUUAAAACUCACACUUAAGAGAACUUGGCAAAAAACACAUGAUCCCUCAAAUUCUAGAGCAUAUCAACAAAUAUUGUGCAUGCUCCUCUCUACUUCUUGAAUACAUAAGGAUGUCAUCGAUGAAAUUUAUCACAAAGGAAUCCAGAUAAGGUCUGACCACUCGGUUCAUAAAAUCCAUAAAUAUGGUUGGGACAUUAGUAAAGCUAAAUGACAUCACCAAGAACUCAUAAUGAUCAUAUCGGGUCCUAAAGGCUAUCUUCAGGUUAUACUCAACCCAAAUCCACAACUGAUGGCACCUACAUCUCAAAUUAAUCUUAGAAAAUACUACCGAUCUCUGAAGCUGGUUGAACAAAUCGUCAAUGCAAGGCAGAGGAUAGUGGUUCUUCACAGUUAGCUUAUUAAGUUGACUAUAAUCAAUACACAUGUUUCGCACCCCAUUUUCCUCGAGGAAAGCAAAAUUCAACAUGACCACUCUUUUUUGGGGAUUGUUUUGAAGGUAGAGGUGUGAAGAGUCGUCACCUAACGAAUCAAGCUGCAUUAAGGAACUGGUCUAGGCUACUAUGAACCUAUUUUGUCAUUUUGUCUUAGUUCACCAGAGUUCGGGUAAGGGUUCAAAGUUCCUCAAAAGAAAGGUAUUAGGCACCUUUCGAGGUCCACAAAGGUGGUUCCCGGACGAAUUCAUACUUUACGUGGGGAUUCUACGUGAUCAAACAAAAGGUCUUAUUUUAUUAUUAAUUUAAUGUUUAUCUAGCUGAUAAAGUAAUUAACAAACAUUUCACUUAAUUAUGUCUAUUAAUCAUCUAAGUGAAAAUCAAGAAAAAUUUGUAAAUCAGACAAGUGGAGAGAAAGAAAUAACAUAAUUUACAAUAAAAAAGGAUUGCCUUAUAAUAAACUAAAUACCCCAACUCAAUGAACAUGUAAAGUAAAUAAAAGAAUAAAAAGAAAUCGUGCAAAUUAAACAAGAAAUAUUUUGAUCUCAUUCAGAUCAGAAUCCCAACUUGUUUAAUCAUCAUCCAAUCUGUCAAUCGAAUUCUUCGACAAGUAACAAUGUCAUCAGUUUACCGUCAAUAUAUAUUGGGAUUAUCACUUCCGAAUGACUACCCAUCCCACCCCACCUAGGCUGGAUGUCGGGUCUAAUGGCAUUCUAUAACAAGGAUAAAACUAACGGCUCUUAGUAAUACUUGUCGUCCAACCUAUCGUCCAAGUGGCAUUGGACUUUCCUAUUUUAGAUUUGUGUUCUAGAAAAAAAUUAAGUUAUGUUGCCUAGGACUCUAAGCACGUUACACUUUAGACAGCAAGUAGCACAUAAGAAUCACAAGUUAACCUCUUGAUUAAUUAAUGUUAAUUAAUGUGAUUAACAUGCAUAGACAAAUAAUUAGCUUAUUCUGACGUCAUUAAACUAUAGGCAUAAUAUCUAAGUGUUCAACAAUUGAUAGUGUGAAAAAGACAAAUGUGAUUCGUGUGUGCAACAAUACAUCGUCAAAUUGUUAAAAGAGGGUGUCUAAAGUGUAGUAAAUGUGUCAAGAAAUUGGGCUCGUGAAAUAAGUGUUGUGAUAAUGAGUAUAAGAAAUUAACAAAAAUAUUAAAAUGCAUUAACAUGCUAAGGAUGCAAUGAUGUACUUAAUCUAGUAUUUAACAUGCUAGAAUGCCUAAACUAACAUUUUAACAUCCUGAAAAUUAUGCAAAUACUGCAGAAAUUUAAUGUUAAACAUGCUGUAAUUUGUAUAAUAACAUGCUAAAAGCAGUUUAAUAUGCUGAAAUUUCACUUGAUUUAUGCAAAAACAGUAUUUUUUACUUGCUGAAAUUAAUAUUAGCACACUAAAAAUACACGAACUCUAUUGUUUUGACAUGCUGAAAAUGCGCAGAAACUUCAUGCUAAUAAGCAGAAAAUUUAGUUAAACAUGCUGAACUUGUAUUCUAGUAGUGGAGACAUGCUGAAAAUUAACUGAUUUAUGUAAGAAUACGAUUUUUAGCAUGCUGGACAUUAAUUAUCUUAUGUGAAAAUAUAGUUCCAAACAUGCUGAGCUGAAUUCAUUUAUUUGUCAUGCAUAAAACAUUAUUAAACAUGUAGUAAUUGUCAUUAGACAUACUGAGAAUAAUGUUAAGGCAUAGUAGUCUCAUGUUGAUAUGUUGAAAACAUCUUAUCAUGCUUCAAUUCAAUGAGGACAUGUUAAGAAGGUAUUAGCAUGCUUAAAUUUCAUUUUAAGGCGUCGUAUAUUAAAAUUUAACUUAAGCAAUAUUUGAAAGCUUCUAAAUGAUUCGUGUGUUAAUAAAUCCUACUUUUGUGUGCCUAAAUGAUCCACGUAACACGUAUUGCAUAUAAACCUAAGUUGUACCUAUCUAUACCGUUCAUAGAGCACAUAAAUCCCCGCCUCCCAAAGCAGUCCCCAAAAUUUAUUAUACAUCAAUAAUAAUAAUGUCUUUACAAAUAUUACAAAUCAAAUAACACGAAAAAUAAGAAGAAAGAAAAACAAGCUAUGAAGAAUAACAUAGUCAAUUUCAUCAUCCCGACAACUCUUCGGAACCCCUUCCAAUAACACCUGUUGAAUAUAAUAGAAGAACAAUGCAAGCACGGGACAAACAAGGUACAACAUAUAAGCAGCAAGCAAUUGUUUCAACUACGGGACAAACAAGGUACAACAUAUAAGCAGCAAGCAAUUGUUUCAACUAAUCCUAUAGGCAUGCUUUCUAUUAUGUAAAUACAUUGACGAGGGACUUACCAGUGCGCAACAGUAAAUGAGAUAAUAAGAAUAAAAGAAAGCCAAGCACCGCGAAAUACGCAAGAUGUUUUCCGUAAGCCUCGAAGAAAAAACCGGAGAACUUUUAGAGUAUCCAAUUGGUUUAUGUUAAAAGUAGUUGGUAUCUUGUUUAAAAGAGAGUAAUAGUUUGUGAUUGUAGAACUGUCCAUUGAAUGAAAAGAGAUGUUUAUAUAGUGGAGAGAUUGUAAAAUUAAAGGAAGAAAAUACGGAAAAUCAAUCAGUAAUGAUAAGAAAGGAAACAAACUAUUCUAAACAAGCAAUCAGAAUUAAUCAAUCAAGGAGAAGGAAAAUAUCGAGUUUCCUUUUUAAAAAGGAUCUGCCACGGAAUACCUUCCUUAAUUAGUUUAAUCAAAUCCCAUUAAGGAGAAGAGGAAAAAGAUUGCUAUAAUAAACUAAUGAAUAUUCCACGGAAGGCAAGAAAAAUCAAUCAGAAGACUAUUUUCCAUAAAUCAAUACCAUCAGUCAAUUACAAUAAAACAGUAACAGAUUAUCACGAAUCGAGAAACAGGAGUCACGGAGGCAAAUUAGUGAACAAAGGAUAUAUUGAGACCAUUUUAUAAAUUGCAAGGAAAACAGACUAAUCAAACAAAGUAUUUUCUUAGUUGAAACGGAUUCAUUUUAAUUAAAAAUAUAUAACGCAGUCCAAUUUAUGCAUCACAAUAUGUAUAUCAAAUCUGUCUGAAACAGUGAAAGCAAAAAAAAUAAUAAUAAUAAACAUCAGCUAGUAGACAAUUUGAAACUAAUCAAGGUCCAUAGAAUUUGGGGCUUCUCAGGUAUGUCGAUCAAGAGACGAACAUAAACCCAAAUUUAACAAAUUGGAACGAAUUUCAGAGUCACAAUGUCACGAACAACCAAAGCAGACAACCAUGCAUGUUAAACUAGAGUACACCAUCAUGAAAUUAAGCGAUUUAAAAAUCAAAUCGGACAAAAAAUAGCCGGUGUUCGUCGAAAGGAUCGCCGGUUAUUCACUUCAGAGAAGAAUGGAAAAUAGACAGUAAAGACGAUGCAGAGUUUUUCCACGGGUAGGGGAAAGGAGACGCCAGAGCAGCGGCCUUAUUGGUGGCGCGGUUUUCCCGCUAGUGGCAGCGCCGGGCGGUAGGCGGUGGAGAGGGCUGGUUUCGAUGGGGAGGCGAGGGAGAGGCGUUGGAUCUGGGGUGCUGAUGGAGGAGAGAGGGUUCGCCGGUGUUGAUGUCGCCGUUGGUGGCUGGUACUUCCACCAACCAUGGUGGCCGGUGGCUUCAAAGAGGAGGGAGAGAAGAGAGGUAGAGAGAGAAAGUAGAGAAGGGGGGUGGAGG